AAAAACGCUGCAGGUUAUUUGUUACUCGGCCGAUGAACAAUAGAACGAUAGCGUGAGCCCUUCCUCCUGACACCGUUCACUAUGUUCACGACAGUGUGAAAGGUUGGAAGCCGUUUGAGUUUUCCUAAAUGAAAAUUAAUUUUCAAGCGGUUUCUUAAUAUUGAGAAUUAAUUAGCUAAACCACAUGACUUGUACAGCCAACCGUAGAUAUGUGUGUAAGAAAUGUACGGGGAGAAAUUAUGUGAGUGUAAAAUAAACAUUCUGAUCGGCGUAAUUCAAGUAUUCUCGUUUGGAGGGGGAAGCAAGUUCGAAAUGAGCACGAAUUGCGGCGACAAUUGAUAAGCGUCGAUGAAAUUCGUACAAUUCAAAUGAGAUUAUUAAAAAAUCGGAACAAAAUGGACAAUACUCUUGCAAUUCAGUAGAAUAUAUGUAUAACGUACACGAGACAAAUCAUUAUGGAAAAUGGACAGUCAAAAUCUCAGAUUGAAAUUCACAAUAUUUUUAAAGUUAUCGCACAAGGGAUGGAGCGCGCCGCAGUAGGUAUACAAAUGGAAAUUGGUCAACAACAAGUACUCCAUUCGCCCCUUCUGUAUAGUAUCCCCAAUCCUAUUAUGUUGUAGCAAACUGACUAAGGCCUAUCAUUAUGUAAAAAUAUAUACUAUUAGAAAAUAAAAAUUG
Molecule: long non-coding RNA, 678 nt
Organism: Hermetia illucens (black soldier fly)
Lineage: Eukaryota; Metazoa; Arthropoda; Insecta; Diptera; Stratiomyidae
Exons: 3
Source: RefSeq, a predicted model, not a curated record